GGGCAGCUAACAUGCAAGUCGAACGGUAGCAUUAAGCUUGCUUCUGUGGAAAGUGGCGCACGGGUGAGUAAUGCCUAUGAAUCCUGCCCGGAAGUGGGGGAUACGCUGGGAAUUGAGAUUAAUACCGCAUACAUUCUACGGAAGAAAGUGGGGGAUGUUCAGACCUUGCUCUGAUUAAUAAGCCCAUGUCUGAUUAUCUAUUUGGGGAGGGAAAGGCUCUCCCCGGCAACAAUAUGACUCUGGGAUGAGAGAAGAAGACCCCCCACUGGGGCUGAGACACGGUCCCCACACUCCUGGGGGGGGCCGCUGGGGAAUAUUGUACAAUGGGGAAGAGCCUGAUACCCCCCUGCGCCGUGUGUGAAAAAAGUCUCCUCAGUGUAAAACACUUUUUUUUGGCAGGAAGGGCCCUACCCACAUGCAUGUUGGUUAUGGCGCCACCGGAAUAAUGAUCGCCGAAUACCUCGGUGCCAGCCGCCGUGAUACUACAGAGGGUGCAGUCAUCAAUAUUAAUUGCGGUUCAAAAAUGCCUCGGCGGUUUAUUAUUACAUGGGAGAAAAAAUCCCGCGCCUCCACCGGGGAGCCCUUUUCACUACUGACUGACAAUACUCUGGAAGAGGGCGGAGUAUUUCCCGGUGUGGCGAAAAGCUGCGAUAUUUCACGAAGGACCACUAGUGACGAAGGCUACCACUGGGACUAAUGAUGCUGAUGCACGACAGAAUCGGGAGCAGACAACAGGAUAUACACCCCUGGUCCCCGCCCCCGACAACGAAUACUACCCUGUUCGUCGAUACACAUUGAGCUCUUAAGCGA
Molecule: ribosomal RNA, 810 nt
Filed under: bacterium 070605-23_N11_16
Lineage: Bacteria
Description: partial 16S ribosomal RNA
Rfam family: Bacterial small subunit ribosomal RNA
Source: RNAcentral